This 484-nucleotide ribosomal RNA is filed under the name uncultured bacterium. RNAcentral's name for it is "partial 16S ribosomal RNA". It matches the Rfam family "Bacterial small subunit ribosomal RNA", at positions 30 to 507 of the family's 1533-position model. The record is from RNAcentral.
AUUGAACGCUGGCGGCAGGCCUAACACAUGCAAGUCGAGCGGAUGAAGGCAGCUUGCUUCUGGAUUCCGCGGCGGACGGGGGAGUAAUGCCUAGGAAUCUGCCUGGUUGUGGGUGAUAACGUCUGGAAACGGGCGCUACUACCGCCUAAGUGCUGAGGGAGCAAGUGGGUGAUGUUCGGAACUCACGGUCUCAGAGGAGCCUAGGUCGGAUUGACUAGUUGGUGGGGUAAUGGCCUACCAAGGCGAGGUUUCGUAACUGGUCUGAGUGGAUGAUCAGUCACACUGGAACUGAGACACGGUCCAGACUCCUACGGGAGGCAGCAGUGGGGAAUAUUGGACAAUGGGCGAAAGCCUGAUCCAGCCAUGCCGCGUGUGUGAAGAAGGUCUUCGGAUUGUAAAGCACUUUAAGUUGGGAGGAAGGGCAGUAAGUUAAUACCUUGCUGUUUUGACGUUACCAACAGAAUAAGCACCGGCUAACUUCGUG